GCAGACAGUGUAAUGGAGCAGCAGGAAAUGCUAGCGGAAUGCUUGGUUGUAUAGGGAGAGCAGUAGAAAGAGGGAAGUGCCAUUAUACAGAAAACUGGUGAAACCUCAUUUGGAGUAUUGUUUGCAGUACUGUAGACCGUAUCUCCAGAAGGAUAUUGAUACUUUAGAGAGACUUCAGAGAAGGGCUAGAUCUUGUCCAGCCUUGACUCUAAAUCUAGAGGUACAGCACAGGGGUUAGGAAGACAUAUU
Non-coding RNA from Pelobates cultripes (western spadefoot toad), 249 nucleotides. NCBI's taxonomy places the organism in Eukaryota, Metazoa, Chordata, Amphibia, Anura, Pelobatidae. The record is from the annotation of a GenBank genome assembly.